GGCUUCAUAGCUCAGUGGUUAGAUCACUAGUCUUGUAAACCAGGGAUCAUGAGUUCCCAGCUCACUGGGGCCU
This 73-nucleotide transfer RNA is filed under the name Pelodiscus sinensis (Chinese soft-shelled turtle). It matches the Rfam family "tRNA". Rfam says of the family: Transfer RNA (tRNA) molecules are approximately 80 nucleotides in length. Their secondary structure includes four short double-helical elements and three loops (D, anti-codon, and T loops). Further hydrogen bonds mediate the characteristic L-shaped molecular structure. tRNAs have two regions of fundamental functional importance: the anti-codon, which is responsible for specific mRNA codon recognition, and the 3' end, to which the tRNAs corresponding amino acid is attached (by aminoacyl-tRNA synthetases). tRNAs cope with the degeneracy of the genetic code in two manners: having more than one tRNA (with a specific anti-codon) for a particular amino acid; and 'wobble' base-pairing, i.e. permitting non-standard base-pairing at the 3rd anti-codon position. The record is from Rfam by way of RNAcentral. Lineage: Eukaryota; Metazoa; Chordata; Testudines; Trionychidae.